RNAcentral lists this ribosomal RNA (119 nucleotides) under Pseudomonas fragi. Its description in RNAcentral is "partial 23S ribosomal RNA". The stretch from base 1 to 102 matches the Rfam family "Bacterial large subunit ribosomal RNA", at positions 2824 to 2925 of the family's 2925-position model. RNAcentral also lists the same sequence under 1 other name. Lineage: Bacteria; Pseudomonadati; Pseudomonadota; Gammaproteobacteria; Pseudomonadales; Pseudomonadaceae. The record is from RNAcentral.
UCCCUAAAGGGCCGUCGAAGACUACGACGUUGAUAGGUUGGGUGUGUAAGCGCUGUGAGGCGUUGAGCUAACCAAUACUAAUUGCCCGUGAGGCUUGACCAUAUAACACCCAAGCAAUU